AGAGUUUGAUCCUGGCUCAGGAUUAACGCUGGCGGCAUGCCUAAGACAUGCAAGUCGAACGGAACACCCCACUGAAAUCUGAAUGAAGUCUGAGAGCUUGCUCAAAGAUGGAAUGACGGUGGAUGUGGAUUCUGUGUUCAGUGGCGAACGGGUGAGUAACACGUGGGUUACCUGCCUCUAAGUUGGGGACAACAGUUGGAAACGACUGCUAAUACCGAAUGUGAUAGUAAUAUUAAAGGAGCCUUUAAAGCUUCGCUUAGAGAUGGGCCUGCGGCGUAUUAGCUAGUUGGUGGGGUAAUGGCCUACCAAGGCGACGAUGCGUAGCCGGACUGAGAGGUUGAUCGGCCACACUGGGACUGAGACACGGCCCAGACUCCUACGGGAGACAGCAGUUAGGAAUAUUCGGCAAUGGGGGAAACCCUGACCGAGCAAUGCCGCGUGUGAGAUGAAGGUCCUUCGGAUUGUAAAUCACUUUUAUUUGGGAAGAACUGUAAGCAGAGGAAAUGAUGCUUACUUGACGGUACCUUUUGAAUAAGCCCCGGCUAACUACGUGCCAGCAGCCGCGGUAAUACGUAGGGGGCGAGCGUUAUCCGGAUUUAUUGGGCGUAAAGCGUGCGUAGGCGGUUUAUUAAGUCUAGAAUUAAAGCCCGAGGCUUAACCUCGGUUCGUUCUAGAUACUGGUUGACUAGAGUACAGUAGAGGCAAAUGGAAUUCCUAGUGUAGCGGUGGAAUGCGUAGAUAUUAGGAGGAACACCAGUGGCGAAGGCGAUUUGCUGGGCUGUAACUGACGCUGAGGUACGAAAGCGUGGGUAGCAAAUAGGAUUAGAUACCCUAGUAGUCCACGCUGUAAACGAUGAGCACUAAGUGUCGGGUUACCGGUGCUGAAGUUAACACAUUA
This 898-nucleotide ribosomal RNA is filed under the name human gut metagenome. RNAcentral describes it as "bacterial SSU rRNA". It matches the Rfam family "Bacterial small subunit ribosomal RNA", at positions 8 to 862 of the family's 1533-position model. The record is from RNAcentral.